Molecule: ribosomal RNA, 304 nt
Filed under: uncultured soil bacterium
Lineage: Bacteria
Description: bacterial SSU rRNA
Rfam family: Bacterial small subunit ribosomal RNA
Source: RNAcentral
AGAUUGAACGCUGGCGGCAGGCCUAACACAUGCAAGUCGAGCGGUAGAGAGGUGCUUGCACCUCUUGAGAGCGGCGGACGGGUGAGUAAAGCCUAGGAAUCUGCCUGGUAGGUGGGGGAUAACGCUCGGAAACGGACGCUAAUACCGCAUACGUCCUACGGGAGAAAGCAGGGGACCUUCGGGCCUUGCGCUAUCAGAUGAGCCUAGGUCGGAUUAGCUAGUUGGUGAGGUAAUGGCUCACCAAGGCGACGAUCCGUAACUGGUCUGAGAGGAUGAUCAGUCACACUGGAACUGAGACACGGGU